Molecule: small RNA, 172 nt
Filed under: Plasmodium gaboni
Lineage: Eukaryota; Apicomplexa; Aconoidasida; Haemosporida; Plasmodiidae
Also listed under: 1 other name
Description: Plasmodium RNA of unknown function RUF4
Rfam family: RNA of unknown function RUF4
Source: RNAcentral
AAAAUUAUAUAUACGCCUCAUUUGUAUAUAGACAAUUUUUUUUCCCAUAUAUUCACUUGUAAAAAGGGUAAAUAAAUUUUAUAAUUUAAUCACAUGUGUAUUUUUAUUUUAUUUAUAAGUUUUUUAUGAAUAAAAUUAGUACUAAUAUACAUGCUUCGUGCGAUAAAGACAU